CCAUCGGCCCUUAUCAGGGCCAUCAAAUUUGUGGAAAGAGUUGAAG
Non-coding RNA from Aedes aegypti (yellow fever mosquito), 46 nucleotides. The record is from Rfam. NCBI's taxonomy places the organism in Eukaryota, Metazoa, Arthropoda, Insecta, Diptera, Culicidae.